GAAUAUUACAACAUUGAUUACAAGAUCUGAUGCAAGCAGGUUUAUUGUUUAAAGGGCAAAGCUGAGUAUUGUAAAUUAAUGAAGCACUGUACAGACCAAUGAAGGAUUUGUAACUACUUGUUCCCAAUGAGCCAACCCCUGAGGCCAUGUAGUGCGUUGAUCUGGUUUGUACUAUGGUUUUAUAUAUUUUUUUUUUUUUUCUUUUUGUUGAAGACUGAGAAUUUCUUUGAGCUGUACACCCCUGAACUGAAAGUUGGUCCUAGUCUUUUUGCAAAACCGCCAUACUUUUGACACAGUGAAGUUCAGGUCGCAGAAAAUUCACUCUGUAGGACAGAGUUCGCACGUAAGGUUAUAUUUAACAGUAUUAAACUUGUUCCUUAUAUUAAAGUCUGGUUUGCCAAAAUGCGGUUAAUGGGAAGUCUUUGUUCUGUUGGUAGUAAUGUCUGGUAUUUGUUCUGCAAUUUCAGAAGUUGGUGUCUUUUUGUUCCCUCUUUAAAAUCACCACUUACUGUUUGUGAAACAAGUCUUGUCAUUUGUAGAAACAAUUUCACAUUUGUGUAGACUUUGAAAUCCUGUUGUACAAGCAUGAUUGAGAAUAUUUCUGUUUUUGUACGUUCUGAUUUGAGUGGCAUUAGGGCUGUGUACAGAACAUCUCUCUUUCUCCUGUCUGUAACUUCCACGUCCCAUUGUUUUUGUAAAGCUCAGGGAGAUUAGCCGCCAUCUUUCUUUUAGUUUAUUUUGUAUUUAGACCACUUUUUUCUCUGACAAUUACAGAGGCUGUAAAUAAACAUUUGAAUUUGCUAUCC
Long non-coding RNA from Etheostoma spectabile (orangethroat darter), 806 nucleotides. RefSeq lists it as uncharacterized. The transcript has 3 exons. Lineage: Eukaryota; Metazoa; Chordata; Actinopteri; Perciformes; Percidae. The record is from RefSeq and is a predicted model, not a curated record.